This 199-nucleotide long non-coding RNA is filed under the name Gossypium raimondii (Peruvian cotton). Its description in RNAcentral is "long non-coding RNA (GRAI_LNC002060)". Lineage: Eukaryota; Viridiplantae; Streptophyta; Magnoliopsida; Malvales; Malvaceae. The record is from RNAcentral.
AAAGUUGGAAAAAAGGAAAAUUAAAUAGUAGAAAAUAAAAAAUAUAUAUAAGUUUUUUUUUCAUAGUUAAGUUUAGGAGGAAAGAUGAAAAAAUGAAAGAUGAAAAAAUUUUCUUUUCAUCCAUUGCUUGGUAAACUUAAAAAAAAAGGAAAUAAAAUGAAACUUUUGAAAAAUACAUAAUUUUGAACUAAAAUAAUCC